RNAcentral lists this small RNA (28 nucleotides) under Bombyx mori (domestic silkworm). RNAcentral describes it as "ovarian small RNA-23818". Lineage: Eukaryota; Metazoa; Arthropoda; Insecta; Lepidoptera; Bombycidae. The record is from RNAcentral.
UAUCUUGCUCGAGUUCUCGUUGGUCAAC